This 624-nucleotide ribosomal RNA is filed under the name Triticum aestivum (bread wheat). Its description in RNAcentral is "partial small subunit ribosomal RNA". The record is from RNAcentral. Lineage: Eukaryota; Viridiplantae; Streptophyta; Magnoliopsida; Poales; Poaceae.
AUGGUGGCCAUUACGGCCGACUAUCCCGGACUGCUUCCUGCAUCGCACGGAAGGCCUUCGGGACGCCGUGCCGAACCCGCAGCAACUCGUCAACAAGAGGCACCGAUGCCGGGCAGGCCAAGAAGGAAGGCGGUCAAGAUGAAGACGCCGGCGCAGAGAAAAAAUGCUCGCCGGAAUGUGUCCGGUGAGGCUGCCGAUCAUGCUUCCACCAGUCGGGUUCCAGGACCGGACAUAGAGGCGGAAGCCGACAUGGGGCGAACGCCGAAUACUCCUCCUACAGAGGAUGCAGAUAGACUAUCCGCUACAAAUUCAAAAGUGGAGAGCGCCAUGAAUCAUAGGCGUCGCCGAGCCGUACUCCGUGACGCUUGCUUCUCCCUAGAGGCAUUUGAUGCCUUCAAUUCUGGAGCCGCGUACCUCCGUGCUGCUCAAAAUGGUCUAGCCAGAGCCACAGACGAAUAUGUAAGGGAUGUACGGGUUCUUACAGAGAAGAAUACUCGACUGUCACAGGAGCUGGAGGAAUGCAAGACCCAACUUCGGGCCGCCAUUGCCGCAUUGAAGGAACCUAAAAAGUCCCCAGCAGAUGAAUCUAGAGAGAAUCCGGAAGACCAGCAUGCCGUACGAUAG